RNAcentral lists this transfer RNA (59 nucleotides) under Cryptocercus punctulatus (brown-hooded cockroach). Its description in RNAcentral is "tRNA-Arg". The record is from RNAcentral. Lineage: Eukaryota; Metazoa; Arthropoda; Insecta; Blattodea; Cryptocercidae.
AAAUAAGUACCUAAAGGGUGCAUAGCUACGGUCUAUGUAUAGCAUUAAAGCCUUAUUUG